RNAcentral lists this ribosomal RNA (765 nucleotides) under uncultured archaeon. Its description in RNAcentral is "partial 16S ribosomal RNA". The record is from RNAcentral.
CGACAACGGUCGCACCGUGGCCGACACCUAGCGAGUAUCGUUUACGGCUAGGACUACCCGGGUAUCUAAUCCGGUUCGUGCCCCUAGCUUUCGUCCCUUGCCGUCAGGUCCGUUCUGGUGAGACGCCUUCGCCACUGGUGGUCCUUCAAGGAUUACAAGAUUUCACCCCUACCCCUGAAGUACCUCUCACCUCUCCCGGCCUCGAGCCGAACAGUAUCUCCUGAAAGCCCAACAGUUGAGCUGCUGGAUUUCUCAAGAGACUUAUCCGGCCGGCUACAGACCCUUUAGACCCAAUAAUAACGGUUACCACUCGAGCCGCCGGUGUUACCGCGGCGGCUGGCACCGGUCUUGCCCGGCCCUUGCUAUGCAAUGCUUUUUAGGCAUCACGACAGCCAGAUUUGUAACCUGGCACUCGAGGUCCCCUUAUCGCCGUUGCCGGCAUUGUAAAGUUUUCGCGCCUGCUGCACCCCGUAGGGCCUGGAUUCGUGUCUCAGAAUCCAUCUCCGGGCUCUUGCUCUCACAACCCGUACCCGUCGUAGGCUAGUAGGUACGCUACACCCACUACUACCUGAUAGGCCGCAGACCCAUCCUCUGGCGCCGGAGCUUUCGAUCUCGGGGCAUUCCAGCGACCGAGAUCUAUCGGGGAUUAUACCCAGUUUCCCGGGUUUAUACCCGUCCGGAGGGUAGGUUGUCCACGUGUUACUGAGCAGUACGCCAUGUAUUGCUACAUUCGACUCGCAUGGCUUAGUCGAACCUCGAUAGCAG